AUGCAAGUCGAACGGAGCACCCUUGACUGAGGUUUCGGCCAAAUGAUAGGAAUGCUUAGUGGCGGACUGGUGAGUAACGCGUGAGGAACCUGCCUUUCAGAGGGGGACAACAGUUGGAAACGACUGCUAAUACCGCAUGACGCAUUUUGAUCGCAUGGUCGGAAUGCCAAAGAUUUAUCGCUGAAAGAUGGCCUCGCGUCUGAUUAGAUAGUUGGCGGGGUAACGGCCCACCAAGUCGACGAUCAGUAGCCGGACUGAGAGGUUGACCGGCCACAUUGGGACUGAGAUACGGCCCAGACUCCUACGGGAGGCAGCAGUGGGGAAUAUUGGGCAAUGGGCGCAAGCCUGACCCAGCAACGCCGCGUGAAGGAAGAAGGCUUUCGGGUUGUAAACUUCUUUUAAGUGGGAAGAGCAGAAGACGGUACCACUUGAAUAAGCCACGGCUAACUACGUGCCAGCAGCCGCGGUAAUACGUAGGUGGCAAGCGUUGUCCGGAUUUACUGGGUGUAAAGGGCGUGCAGCCGGGCAUGCAAGUCAGAUGUGAAAUCUCAGGGCUUAACCCUGAAACUGCAUUUGAAACUGUAUGUCUUGAGUGCCGGAGAGGUAAUCGGAAUUCCUUGUGUAGCGGUGAAAUGCGUAGAUAUAAGGAAGAACACCAGUGGCGAAGGCGGAUUACUGGACGGUAACUGACGGUGAGGCGCGAAAGCGUGGGGAGCGAACAGGAUUAGAUACCCUGGUAGUCCACGCUGUAAACGAUGGAUACUAGGUGUGCGG
This 774-nucleotide ribosomal RNA is filed under the name uncultured bacterium. RNAcentral describes it as "bacterial SSU rRNA". It matches the Rfam family "Bacterial small subunit ribosomal RNA", at positions 55 to 827 of the family's 1533-position model. The record is from RNAcentral.